Molecule: long non-coding RNA, 11856 nt
Filed under: Capsicum annuum
Lineage: Eukaryota; Viridiplantae; Streptophyta; Magnoliopsida; Solanales; Solanaceae
Description: long non-coding RNA (CANN_LNC019328)
Source: RNAcentral
CCCCGAAGGAAAUAAAAGAAACAUCUAGACAUCAUUUCAUCUUCUUCCAAGCUCUCGCCGCCAUAGCCAAAGAAUUAGGAAAAAAAGAUCGGAGAGUUAUCUAGAUCUAUUGAGAGAGUUGUCUAGAUCUAUUGAGAUGCCGAAAAUAGAUUUGAGUUCCUAUCGACUACACAUCAACCUUAUAUAAUCAAAUUAUGGGAUUAACAUUGUCAGCAACCUCAAAGCUUUCACACAGAUGUUAUGGCUUAAUUGUACCCGUCUCGAAAUAUCUUCACUAUUGAAUCAUAAGGUCCAUGCAUGCCUCAGCAAAAUAGGUAACUCUUAAUCAUUUUCCAUCAGAAAUAUGCUCAAAUACACACUGUUGCGUUUUCUUUUUGACCACCUCUUCCACUGUUUUUCUAUUUUAGAUUGAGUCUCAAUGAGACUAAUACCACACAUCGAGGAAGGAAAAGUAGUUGAGAGGACCAAAAGACCACAUCCCUACUGAAAUUUCUUUUAAAAAUAAGAAAUUUUAACCCUUUGUGAUUUAGUUCGCUGCUCUUUCUCUAGCUGGUUUAAGUAUGAUAUGUUAGAUUAAUGGAGAAAUACACCACAUAUUUACAUAAACCAAGAACACCUAUAAAAUAACAAAAUAUGCAUGAGAAAAGAUGCGUAUCUUUGUCCGUCAUUAUAACAUAUAAUUGAAGAUGAUUUGUCUGUCCGUCACUACAUCGUGUAACUAAAAACGAAUAAGGCUAAGUCUUCCUCUUUUUUACUUAUGACGGUUGGCAGCUUAUGAAAUACGUCUUAUAUUGAAGUCAGAAGAGGACAUUUAGCCUUAUAUUUAUAGGCUUAAAAGUCUUAAACUAGUGCAUCCCAUUAUGACCAGCCCACACUAAUAACAUGAAAUUGAUACAGGCUCAUAUGGAAUCUUCAUGAAUACACGGUGUGUGUCUUGUCUAUCAAUUUAUAACAUCAGUUCAUUUUAUUUCUAACGUAAUAAAAAGUUAAUGUUAAAUCAACAUAAAAUAAAUAAUUCUAACAUUCUCCCACUUGGAGAACGUUAACUUUUAAAGAAAAAUUUUGAAAAAUUUAUUUUUAUGAAAAUGACUCUCGAGCUGAAUAAACAGUAACCAUAAACACUUAGUGGUGGAACGCCAUCUCCAACAUAGUUCAGUCAAGCAAAACAUCACUGUUGAACUGUAGCAGUACCUGCAUCAACCAACGACACAAGACCAGUCCACAAUUACAAACGUUGAAGUUUUGUAGACAUAAAUCAAAUGAUGUGAUAGUGUAGUAAGAAAUAGCCAACAUGGACUCCAAAUCGAUGCUAUUUCAUUGUUAGUCCUUCAAACGAUUUUUCAUAUCAAUAUGUAUGCUUAAAAUCAACAUGUGUAUCAUAGAAAAAUUGUCACUGCAAUUUUUUGUUACAACAUGUGUGAGCACUAAAAUAUGUGCUCCACCAGAAAAUCUUGAUUUUUAACGUUCAACAUGUGUAACAUAUUACAUGGUGUAACAAUCAAAAAAAUUCACAAGGUAGAAUGAUAUACCAUAUAUAUCUCUAAAAGAAAGAUCCAAUAAAAUAAUAAUAUGAUCUUAUUAAUAUGAGACAUAACCAACACGUAAGGCAAAAAAUCUUAAUAUAAUAAAAUAAUAUUAAAAUGUGAAUGAUGAACUUACUCUCAUUGAUCUUGAGAUAGAUGCAAUGAUCAAUCUUGUUCUCCACAAAUUUUAUAGUUGUGAUAAUUUCUGCAAAUUUCAAGUACCAUUGUCAAGAAGCUUGCUUCAAGUCUUAGAUUUCUUCAACUUACACACAAGAUGUUCACUGCCUUUACUAACAGAACCUUGAAAUUGUUGCAUGUAAACCUCUUCAUUAAUAUUGCCAUUAAAAAAAAAGAUGUCUUUAUAUUCAUAUGAUGUAGCUCAAGAUCAAAGGAUCUCAUUCGUUGCCCAGUCUCAGCUUAUCUACCAUAGUACUCACCCUCGUGAUUCGACGUCACUAUCUUAAUGACCUUUUCUAGCUGUUUUUCUACUUCAGUUUUAAAUACUUUGAACAUUCAAGAGAAUUUGUGGGAAUGAUUUCUAACAAAUCAAAACUACGAGUAGCGUUCUUUUUUUUCAAUCAACUUUUUUCUAAUGGAAUCAAUACAUGUUUCUAUGUCACCAAAAUCAAGAGAAGGUAAAAUAUUAUACUUAACCAAUCUAUCAAUUCUAUCUUUAGAGAUAUGACCUAAAUGCUCAUGCCAUAACAUGCUCGAUUUCAUUUAAAAUUGGUUGUUUAGACUCAACAAUUUUAGAAGUAAAAGAGUUGUAUUCAAAAUCAGAAGUCAAGGAAAUUUUAAAUAAACCAUCAGAUAGGAUUUCAUGACCAACAAAUCGAAAGUUCAAAAGAAAAUUAACUUUAAGAGAAUUAAAAUCAUAAUCAAAUUUGUCUAAAACUGAAAUAUAAAUUAAAUUUUGUCUAAAAGAUGGUACAUAAAGAUUGUUUUUAAGAACAAGCUUAUAACCAGUUUGUAAGUUUAAAACUACAAUUUCUAUGAACUCUACUUCAACUUAGACAUCCGCGGCGAGUCUAAUUCUUGACUCUGUUUCCUUUGGGUUCCUUUUAUUUUUGGACCUCUGGAAGGAAAUGUCAAUAUGAGUAGUAGCUUCACUAUCAAACCAUAAAAAAUUAAUGGGGGCAUCUACAUUAGAUCUUUCAAACUUUCUAGGUUCAUAGCAAGAGAUUGCUUUUGAAUCAUGAGAAGCUAACAUAGCAACCUCAUCCUUCUCCCUUUUAAAUUUUUCCCCUUUCAAAAAACACAUUUGAAGAUGAGAUCCUUGAUUGAUCAAGAUUCAUCCCGAGUAUUAUAAGCAGUUUUCAUUUGGCUAAACUCAGCAGGCAAAGAGUUAAGAGCAUAGUGAACAAUGUAACUAUCAGGAAGAAUUAUUUUAAAGGUUUUUAGUUUGGACUGAAUAUGGACCAUCUUAUGUAUGUAAUCUCUAACACCCCUAGUAAAGUCAUACUUCAUCCUUGCAAGUUUAUUCAUUAGAUCUCCACUCUUAGCCUUAUUGGAUACAAGAUACCUUUCUUCCACUUGGGCAAGAAACUUUUUUGCAUUGAUAGCCACUUUUGAGGUGCUCAACAAUCAACCUCCUAAAGGCAAGGAUGCAUGGCCUAUUAGAUCUCUCCCACUUAGCAUUAAAUUCUUUUUCAGCAGUUGUACUAGAAUCAACGAGAGCUGGAGGCUCAUCCUCAUGCAAGGCUUGAACUAUGUCAGCCAUGCCAAAGUAAAUUCAAGAUCUUAUUUCCAUCGCUUAAAGUUAGAGUCCGAUAGAACCACAACUUCAACAUUGUUAUUAUUUAAAUAAAUGGUAACUUUUCACAAUAUAACAUGAAUGAAUUUAUCAAAAUAGCAAGGCAUAAGAAUAAUAAUCUUAUCACAACGAUAAGUCCCGCAGCAUUAACAAGUAGCCCCGCUUUGGGCAAAGAAAGAAAAUAUUUUCAAUAUUAGAAACCUAUCUCCUUUGGGCAGAUAAAUUUACUAAGUAAAAAUAUUUUCACAUAAUUGGGUUCAUCACAAUACUAAUUUAAAACACACAAUAAAUCUCCCUUGGGCAGAUCAUUGUAUGUUCUAACUUAGUGAUAUCUCUCAAAAUAGAUUAAACAAUUCUCAUAAAGUAAAGUAAAUAGGUCACUUUGGUGUACUUUAUUUACCCUAAUUUAUAAAACAAAUUCAAUCUCAGGGAUUCAAUAUGCCAUUGCUUAAUUUGUUCUGUGACACAAUAAGUAACCACACUAUUAAAAUAUUAUAAAUUUGAUUUAGUUGCAAUUCAAAUGAAAUCAAAUUCAAAUACAAUAAAUAAAUAAUAAUUCGACAUUUUUAUAAACAAUAGCUUAAAAUUUUUAAAUUUCAUAAAAUAAUUAACUUUUUAUAUUAUUUAAUCUAAGCAUAUGAAACUAAAUAAAUGAAUGAAUUUUUAAUAACAUAGUCGCCAGAACACAUCUUAAGAAAUCUUUAGUUCAGCCAACUUUACUCCAGCCAAUAUCAAAAAAUAAAUAAAAUUAACAUUCUGUAAACAAGAAAUACAACGGAAAAAACACUUGGAUACAACACAUCUUUCAUAAAAUCUUUUUCAAGUUCAUUUUUUGGACACAAGUCUAAGAUUAUCUUAUCACCUUUCACCACAAGGCUUACAAUUUUUCAUUUGAAAUCUUUUCAAAAUACGAUCAAUAUAGGCCUUUUGUGAAAGCCCCAAUAACUUACGAGAUUUAUAUGAUGCCUUUUCUAGAUCUUUCAUAUCAAACACUUUGUUCAAUGAAUGCUUAGUUUUAUGCAACAGUUCCAAAUUUAAGUCAUUUAUUUCAUACUCAGACUUGCAAGACCACCUCAUAUCCAUAGCCUUUUUAAUUCAAAAGCAUGUUAAUGACCACCCAAAAUAUUUAAACAUUAGUUCUUGUUUCAAAAUAAGAAAACUUAUGCAAACUACCCCCUUCCCUUUUCAAUACUUUAUCAUAUGGUGGUCAUUUUUCAUUAAUCAUAUGCAAAUUCUUUAUUAGAAAACAUGAGCAUUUGUAAAUCAAGAAAAAACCCCUCUUAUUCUUUCAUAAAAUAAUAAGAAUCCAUAACAUUGUUAAGACAAUGAGUUUCAUAACAAGAGAGAUAAUCACGCAAAUCAUGCUCUUAUGUAACUUUUCAAACUAAUAAUACAUGUACACAUGAAAACAAUUCAAGUUUAGGAAAAACAACCUCAUAGUUUAUAUAAGAUUGCAUUAUAAAACGGGGCUUACAAUACAUGCUCUUCAACAAUUUCAAAACCCAUCUCAUUUACAAAAUUAAAUACCGUAAAUGCUUGUUUAAUCGAUAAAUUUAUGCCCACGAAAUUUAGGAUAGUCCCACAUACAAAAAAUUUUGCAUUUUAAGAUUUAACUAUUCUAGUUCCCCUUGUAGUACAAUAGAACAUGUAUCCUUUAGAAUGAGCUGGAUAACCAAUGAAAAAAAUGUGAGGUUCUAGAUUCAGUUUUUUUUCUAAAAGGUUAUACAUUUUUCCUCCGCAGGAUAUUCCUAAACUCAAAAAUGAUUUAAACUGAGUUUUCUAUUCAUCCACAACUCAAAAGGGGUUUUAGGGACUGACUUGGAAAGAACACAAUUAAGAAUGUACAUAAAUGUUUUGAUAACUUCACCAUAAGUUAGAUCUAUUCAUCAUACUUCUCAUCAUGUCUCUUAAAGUACGGUUUCACCUUUCAAGAUAGUGAAAAUUUUUGAAACAAUUUUAAUUUGUAAAUACUACCAAUAUACUUUAAAACAUAUUUAUUUACUUUUGACAAGGUAUAAAGCAGCGGAAAACUUUGUCAAUGAAGACAAUCAAUCUUUUGUAAUUACAGCUCCUGACAAUUUUCUUUUAAACUAACAACACUCCGUUGAUUAAUUUUCACAUCGAACGGCAACAACUGAUCCAUUACCCAUAACAAUAACUCCUAGGACCUGAAAACACACCACAAUUUUUAAAAAUCAGAUUCAAUUGAUUUGGUCCAUCUACUUUUCCAAAUUCAAUUAAUUUGGCCAUCGGCUGAAUCUUAAUCAUAUGUACACCUUUUUUAAUAUGGAGUAAAGUAGUGUGUAGCAAUCGGAACAAAGUUAGCAGCCAAAAGAAAAAGGAAAAUCGUUUCAGAUUUAAGUUUAAGAUGAAGUGCAUCACGAUCAUUAUUUUCAAUUAUUUUUCUCAUGAACUGAGUAAUAGAGUUCAAGAUCUAUGUUAAAAGCUCUAAUACCAAAUGCUAAAUUAACGGAUAAACACACCACAGAUUCACAUAAACCAAGAACACCUAUAAAGUAACGGAAUAUGUGAGAGAAAAGGUACGUACCUUUGUCCUCCAUUAUAUCAUGUAAUCGAAGACGAUUUGUCCGUCAUUACAACACAUAACCUAAGACGAAUAAGACCGAGUCUUCCUUUGCUUUGCUUAUGACGGCUGACAGCUUAUGAGAAUACAUCUUAUGUUAAAGUCAGGAGAGGGGACCGACCUUUAUAUUUAUAGGCUUAAAAGCCUUAACCUAGUGCACCCCCAUUAUGGGUUCACAAGUCUACUACAGGCCUACACUAAUGUCAGCCCACACCAAUAACAUGAAAUGGAUACAGGCCCAUAUGAAAUCUGCAUGAAUACAUAGCCUGUGUUUUGUCCACCAACUAAUAACACCAGGCCGUUUUACUUUUAACGUAAUAAAAAGUUAAUGAUAAGUCCACAUAAAAUAAAUAAUUCUAACAUGAUAUGUAGGGAUUGUUUGAUAGAGUGUAUUGAAAAAUUAAUGCAUGCAUUAUUUUAAUGUGUAUUAUUAAUAGUUUGUUUGAUAUAAUUUUGCACCCUAUGUAUAACUAAUGCAUUAGUUAUACACUCCAUUGUGUAUUAAUGUGUGUAUUACUAAUACCUCAAAAUUCAUGGUAUUGGCAAUGCAGUGAAUUCAAUACAUGCAAUAACAUGAUUAAAGACACUAUUAUCUCUCAAAAAAAUUCACAUCCUUUCCAACAUAUAUGUGGAGGAUAUUUUUGUAAAUUUUUUUUUUAAGAAAUUAUUUAAUUCAUAUUGUUUUUAAUACAUCAAACCAAACACUGCAUUAAAAAAAUACAAGCAUAGCUAACACAAGUAUUACUAAUACAAGCAUUAUUAACACGCUAUAUUUUGCAUUCUUCUUAUACACUCUACCAAACUACCCCUUAGUAUAUAUUAUUGCUCUAGAAGAAUGAGCAUUUGUGCUUUCUUUGAUAAUGGUUGAAAAUCAGUAAAAUUAGUUGUACUCGCAAAAUUGAACACCCAAUUAGUUAAAAGUUUUUGCAACUUAUAGCAAUAUGAUAGUCUCACAACUAUAUAAAUUAUAUUUUGUCUUGUAAAUUCAACUUAUCUCUAAGCGAAUCUAUUGAACAUGAUUAACGCGAGUUCAAGCAGCUCAUCUUUUACCAAAUAUUUAUCCUAAUCCACUUUUCCAAAAAAAUACAACAUAAAUUUAUGCCCAAGUCUAUUUCUAGUAAUAGCUAAUCAGGACCAAGUCUCAUGGAUAAAUCACAGAGGAAAUUUUUGAAGAUUGAAGUAUACAAGAAAUAAAGAGAAUAUAAAUAAUAGUGAAUCUCUGUUGUCAUCUUUUAUCUACUUGUGUUCAUGCUUUUUACAAUCAGAAUUUAUUUACAAAAGGAUCUUAUAAAAUGAUAAAGAAAUAGACCUUGGGCCUAACUUAACCUUAAAAGUUAGCUCAUGAGAGGAGGAUUGCCCAAGACCAUAUAAGGAGAUCAAGGACCCUUUAACCCACCGAUGUGGGACUCCAACACCUCGCCGCACGCCCAUGGCUAGACAUCUGGAGCGUAAACAAUAUAAGACGGGGGGCCCAACAACGGAAACAAUGAAUUGGGUGGGCCUGACUUUGAUCCUACGAUAAAAAAAGAAAAAAAUAUAUAAAGUAGCAUACUUAAGUAUUAAAUUAUAAAAAAUAACCACAUUUUUAUCAAAUUACAUUUUGUAGCAUAUGUAUUUAUAUUUUUGUAGCAACAGUUUGCAAAAACACAAAAUACAUAUCGAUCAUAAGGGCAGUAAAAAUCAUAUGCAUUUGUGUUUUUGUAGCAACAAUUUGCAAAAAUACAAAAUACAACUUGCUAUAUUAUGUAAUUAUGAAAUUGUUGCUAUGAAACUCAUAAUUAAGAGGAUAAGUAUGCUAUUUCUGAAUUUUGCCCAUAAAAAAAUAGAUCUUAGGCCUAACUCAACCUCAAAAGCUAGCUCAUGAGGAGAGGAUUGCCCAAGACUAUAUAAGGAGACCAAGGACCCCUUUAGCGGACUUCAACACCCCCGCACGUCCAUGGCUGGACAUCUGCAGUGUGGACAAUAUAAGACGGGGGGCCCAACAUCGAAAAUAAUGAACUAGAUGGCCUGACUCUGACACUAUGAUAAAGAAGGCCUAACUCAACCUCAAAAGCUAGUUCAUGAGGGGAGGAUUGCCCAAAACCAUAUAAGGAGAUCAAGGACCCUUUAAUCCACCGAUGUGGGACUUCAACAUAAAAAGUCUAGACACAAGUUAACAAAAAGGUGACAACAUAGACCUUUGUAUUCCCCACCUCCCAUCUUUUAAUAUGAUAAUGAAGGCGUUAGACUUAUCUGAAAGUUCUGCCAAAAAUUCUCCAUAUGAUUUAUCGAUGAGACUUGAUCAUGUGACAUAGCUAAUAUAGAAAAUAGCCAUUUGUGAGCUUUAUUAGGUUUUAGAUGAGAAUCUGAAUUCGAGAAAAAAUGAGUCAAUUUUAAAACUAAAAUUAGCGUCGUUUUUCUUAAAAUGGAAAAAAUGCAGAGUGGAGUAAGAGUUAAGAGGAGCGGAGUAGGAGUUAAAGAAAAGCUUUUGUGGUUGGGGACAAGAAGCAUGUGAUACCCCUCAUAAUUUUAACACUAUUUUGACUUUUCAUGAAGAAACAAUCACAUUUUUCAUUUCUAUGUCAUUUCCUAAUUUCAUUUUGGUCCGUGUGUAUUUGACUGCACACAUCUAACCUUGAAUUAUCUAAAAUGAAUAAUUUUAGUCUAAUUACUAGCUGAUCUGAACAAUACAAAUAAACCAUAUGUUACUAUUACGGACAAUUUUGAAUUGCAUAGACUACUUCAUACAUUAUACACUAAAUUAUUUAUGUUUAGUCUAUCAUAAAUUCACGUGCUAGCAACCGAAAGGUGUCAACGAGAUUUACUAUAGUACGUGUAUUGCAUGUGUCUAUUACAUCAACUAAUAAAUAUAUAAUAAUUAUUGAAAAUAUUAAUUAAUAAUAAAAUAAAUGCAAUAUUUAUUCACACAAUCGUUACAAAAAUGUUAAUCAAGCUUUUACCCAUUUAUAAGUUUUCAUAUUAGACAAAAUUUUCAUUUAAAACAAACAACUUUUUUGAAAAUAGUAGUUGAUGCUAAACUAAUUGAUGAAAUAUAAUAUCUUUAAUUUUAACAUAAUAAGAAAUUUAAUAAAUUAAUUGUAUAGCAAUAAAUGACACAUAAAAGUUUUUUUUUUUCUACUAAUUGUAAAUAAGUCCUGGUUUCAAAAAGCUUGGACACGAGAGCAUAGAAAAGAUAAUAGUAAAGACUCCUUAAUAUUAUUUUUUUAUUUGUUUAUACUUCAACCUUCAUCCAAGUCAGUCUACCUCUGUCUUUCCAACUUCUCAUCUUUUAACAUGAUGACAAAGGCGCUAGACUUGUUUGAAAAUUCUAUGAUUUAUACAUGAAACUUGAUCAUGUGAAGCAAUAAAUAUAAGCAAGAGCCAUAUAUGAGGUUUAUUAGAUUUUAGAUGGGAAUUUGGAUCGAAGAAAGUGGGUCUGUUCUGAAGUUUGGAUUAACAUUGAUUUGCUUCAAAUAAAAAAAGAGCAGAGAGUGAAGUAGGAGAUCAGAGAAGCUAUUGUUGUGGCGGACAAGAAGCACGAUAUACGCCUCAUAUUAUGACACUAUUUUGACUUAGUAGGAAGGAAAAAUGACAUUUUUCAUCACGUUUCAAAUUAUCGAAUCGUGAAUACGUCUAUUAUAAUCUACCUAGUUUGGAGAGCCCCUUACCACUCCCAGAAGAUGUUAAGCAGAAGUUUUUAUUAAAAUAGUAACUCAUCUUUACUACAUAAGCUUAUACAAAACAAAUGCAGAAAGUAUAAACUACCCAGGAAUUUAGUCUAAACAGGUAUAAAAUUUUCUAAAGCAAAAGUAAAUUGAACACAACUUCCACCAAGAGUAAGAUAAGUAGGAGCUGCUGAGGAAUCUCUAUCUGAAACAAUCAUGAAACCAACAUUGAUUCAUGCAAAAGACUAUACCCCAAAAAGGGUGCAACAAGAGUAUUAUCAGUACAAAUCACACAUACUGAUAAGCCUCAUUAAUCGAUUCAAAUUGAAUUGUACAAACAUAAAAUAAAAUUUUUAAAAAAUCAUGCAUCUUAUUAUUCUCAUUACCUAACCCAGUAUCACUUGUUUUCCAAUUAUGGACACCUGAUAACCACUUAGCCUUACCUUUAUGAUUCCCUAAAAUGAUCUAGUUAUCUUCUGCUAACUCUUUGGUUAUGGACUUUGAGGUACCGUUCUUACCCUUACGACUCCACCGCCCUGAGCCACUACCUCUGGCCUUACACCAUGGACUACCAUGAAUCAUAAAGAACCAACCACAUCAAAGAUGAACCUAACUUGUAUCAAUUCCUUAAAUAAGUCUACCUAGCAUUCAUGGGAAUGUCCCACCAAGACAAGUAAAUCGUCAAUAAGACCCCAAGACACUAACCGAGACUUAACAAUAACUUACAAUCGUCUUCAUAUUAUCCUACUUAUGGAGAAAAUCCUAAACACAAAUGCCAUUUCACUACAGGAGAUAAUAUAAUAAGUUAAAUAACCAACAAGAAUUAAUAGUCAAGUCAAACCAAGUUAAAUUAAGUUAAACACCAAAUUUAAUGAUACAUAUAUAUGCAUUGCUCGGUCCACUGAUGAAAUCGUCAAACUUACUUGUACCUUAUACAUACAUGCUAAGGAUAUUAUAAUCACUAUCUAGUCAUGACCCGUAGGGGAUAAAUUCCAUCCAUGAACCUAAUCCAGACACAAGUAUCUGCUAACCUUAUUCCAUCAAUAUCCCAUGAGAAUGUUCAAUUAUUGAGACAUUCCACAACAAUCCAUAAUGAGAUAUACAAAAUCAUACAGAGCAAAGAUAUCACCAACACUUCCACUAUCCACGUGCUUUAUGUAAGGUUCAUUUAUAAGACAUCUACACUUAAAUAACACAUACUAAAAAAGCAAUGGUGUGAGAUAGUUAACAUACCCACAUAACAAAAUCGAAUUAAACUAUGUAAUCCUCACUCCACUGCCAUCCAAUCCCUAAACAUUCCACUUAAAUUAUUUUCCUUUUCUAAAACAACAAAUCGGGUUACCACCCUUGAUGCUAUCAAAAUUUACCAACACUCCCUGAUCUUGGAUGUAUUUAUAUAUCCAAACACCGCGAUUUAUUCAUAUUUGAACUUAUUUUGUGAAUAAAAAGUGUGCUACUUAUAUUAAAUUAUAAAUUAAAUUGUGUUUCAUGGCUAACUGAUGUGAUUAGACAUAUAGGGUUAAUUUCUCAUAGAUUUGGAAGAAAAUUAGGUACACAUCAUGAAGAGGCGGAUGACCAUGUGGAUCAAAGUAAAAAACAUAUGGAAAUGCAACAGAGUAAAGAGAAAAGAAAGAAGUUGAGGAUUGACGAAAAGAAAAAAAGAAAAAAAGAAACUGGUGAAAAAUUUCAGUGACGCAAUGCGAUCUCAACGCGUUGCGUCGACUGGCAAGAUGUGUGCCUUAGCAAAAAUAUGAAGAAUAAUUUUUAGUGCAUCGACGCGAUGGCGAUGCGUCGCAUUGAUGCAUAAGUUCUGUGCCUUAGAGAAUUCUACGUGUGUAAUUUCUAGUGCAUCAAUGCGAUUCUGAUGCAUUGGUCGAUGCUUAAAACUUUGACACUUAGCCAAAUUUUGAGGAGCAAAUUUCAGUGACAUGAUGUGAUGUCAACAUGUCACGUCAGGUAGUGAAGGAUAUGACUUAGUUUGAUUUCAAAGUUGAAUUCCAGUGUGGCAAUGCGAUGUUGAUGCGACGUGUUGGUUGGAUCAAUGCGAUUAGCGACGCUUCGUGUCAUGGUUUCAGUUCUGGUGAAAUUUUCCUAAGUAUAAAAGGAACAUGUGAGCACAAUUCCAAAUACUUUUUGGCAAGCAUAUCAGCGACGGAAAAGCAUAGAAUUCUUAUUUUAGGGUUCUUCUUAUUUCUUUUGAAUUCUUUACUUCAAGACUAAUUUUGGGUAUGAUUAAUUACUUGUUUUUGAUGUUUAAUUCAAACAUGAAUGGCUAAAUACCCUUGUUCUGGGGUUAAGGUCAAGAACAUGAUUAUUCUUUGAUAUUCUUUAUAGUAGUUUCUUUUUGGAUUA